This is a long non-coding RNA of Lolium perenne, 739 nucleotides long. RefSeq lists it as uncharacterized. Lineage: Eukaryota; Viridiplantae; Streptophyta; Magnoliopsida; Poales; Poaceae. The record is from RefSeq and is a predicted model, not a curated record.
GCCAGCGCGUGCGUGUCAUCGCGAUGUUGUGUACGUGUCGACGAGGCCAAGGGGUUGAGCGUCGGUUCGGGGUUGCUUUGACCGGGGGUCCGUUCUUCCUUCGCUAUUUCUUGGUUGCGGCGGCAACUCUGCUCCUCCUCUUCGUUCGUGAAUUUGCGGCGGUGCGUGCGGUUCUUCGGCGGCGUCUCUGUAGCCGCCGGUCUUCUCCGCCGCGUCUGCUUGUCUGAGCUGGUUUGACAUGCUAUCAAACAAUCUGCAAUCUCAAAAGAGUUCUAAGCUCCCUAGCUUUUGAGCAGAAGUCGAGGGAUCUUACGGAUUUGCAGCACAGUGCUUUAGUCUGCCUCUCCCGAAGAGGAUAGCCUGCGCCCAGGAGAAGCUACAUGGGUAGGUACAGAAACGCUUAGAGCUGCAGACACUGCCUAUCAAGCCCUGUUUGUUUAGCACCAAAGAUAUGUUUAUGGAGCACAUCUGAUGCGCAUGAUGCUCUAGAUUGGAGGAGGGCGAGCAUCUUCAGCUACAACUGAACAAGCCUAAGAAAAGUGCUCCACAAAAUUUAAACACGGGUAUCCAAGAACGGCGCAGCAGGGCGCGCUAGGUCCAUCUAGUUUUGUUCUACCUUCUAUCUAACUAUGUAUCCUGUCGUGUACUCUUAAAAAAAAACUUCUGCAGCUAAACUUUCUUCUUCUAUUUUAUCCUAAAAUAUAUUUACACCGCCAUGACGCAUUGCGGCGGUCAUUGC